UGUACACCGAAGCUUUAGACUUGUACUUGUACAAGUGGUAGGAGAGCGUUCUAUUCAGCGUUGAAGGUAUACCGACGAGGAGUGCUGGAGCGGAUAGAAGUGAGCAUGCAGGCAUGAGUAGCGAUAAUUGAGGUGAGAAUCCUCAACGCCGAAAACCCAAGGUUUCCUACGCGAUGCUCGUCAUCGUAGGGUUAGUCGGGACCUAAGUCGAGUCCGAAAGGGGUAGACGAUGGCAAAUUGAUUAAUAUUUCAAUACCAACAAAUAAGCGCGAUGUGGGGACGCAUAGAGUUAAUCGAGGUCACUGAUGGAAUAGUGGCUCGAAGGAUGUAGGUUGAUAGUUAGGCAAAUCCGGCUAUCACUAGACCGAGAUCUUACAGGCUGUUGCGAUUCUUCGGAAUCAAUUCAGAAUCGAUGAUACUGUCGUGCCAAGAAAAGCCACUAAGUAUAUUAUUUGUUGCCCGUACCGUAAACCGACACAGGUGGGUGGGAUGAGUAUUCUAAGGCGCGUGGAAGAACCCUGGUUAAGGAACUCUGCAAACUAGCACCGUAUCUUCGGUAUAAGGUGUGCCUACUUUGGUAUAGAGAUUUACUCUCAAAAGCUAAAGAGGUUGCAACAAAGAGUCCCUCCCGACUGUUUACCAAAAACACAGCACUUUGCUAACUCGCAAGAGGAUGUAUAAGGUGUGACGCCUGCCCGGUGCUCGAAGGUUAACUGAUGAUGUCAGCGCAAGCGAAGCAUUUGAUUGAAGCCCGAGUAAACGGCGGCCGUAACUAUAACGGUCCU
Molecule: ribosomal RNA, 785 nt
Filed under: Arcobacter nitrofigilis
Lineage: Bacteria; Pseudomonadati; Campylobacterota; Epsilonproteobacteria; Campylobacterales; Arcobacteraceae
Description: bacterial LSU rRNA
Rfam family: Bacterial large subunit ribosomal RNA
Source: RNAcentral